UGCGCGCGUGCUCUCUUCUGUCUUUAUCAUGACAAUGUGUAUUUUCAAAGUCAAUAGUUGUUGAUCGUAGUCGUCUUAAAAUCACAUUCCUCACACAAGAAGCCUGGAAUCAAAAAGGAGGGUAAUAUCCAAUUCACUCAGUAGCCUACAAAGAAGAAGCAUGGGCUGUUGUGCAAGUAGUUGUUGUUUUUCAUGGGCGGUCGAUCUGUUAGAAGAACGAGUCAACCAACGAUUUCACGAUUCAAGCGCCAUCUUUGCGAAAGAAAUUUUCUGGGUCAAUCUUCAAUAUCUGAGGUCCAAUGGCUUUAACAAUCAAAUAAGAGGAAAUGGAGCCCUUGUUUUGACGGCGAAUCUGCUUUGGUUCACUUACGUUUUCCCAGAAAGGCAGAUAGAAAUGCUCAUUCAAAAUAUUCGAACCGUUAAAGUUGGUAGAGCUAGGGGAUUAUCUCGCGCUUUGAUAAUCGAUUUCGUCGACACCACCACUGGGAAGGACGACCAAGUGGUGUUUGCGAUCAGGCAUCCCAAAAGAUGGAAGAAGUGGAUUAACGAAACGGUUCAAACCUCAGAAAAUUCUAUGCCGCCUUCAUAUUGGUCUGUGUUCAACCCCCUUCAAAUGUGAAUAUGCAACAUCUCACUCGACUGUUCAACUGUUAGACAAUAUAACUGAUUAGUUACUAUCGACCGCUCUUGUGCAAGAGGCGCCAAACUCCUUGAACAGCGAAGGUUUCUUUUAUGUGCUGCUGAUUUGACAACUUCUAAUGCUUCACAUCUAAAUUACCAAAAAAGCUAAAAUCUUACUGAAAUUGUCUACGCUUGGAAGUUGGCGAUCAUUUAUCAAAGUGAAGGUUUGGCACACGUGGUCAAAGUCGCCUACUGUGCAGGGAAAAAAAAGUGUCAACCUUAGUUAGAGAUCUACGAAAUUAGAAGAUCUGAAUUCUCACUUUGAGCUCUGAUAGAAUAAAAUGGGAAAACUUUCUUGCCAGUA
Molecule: long non-coding RNA, 985 nt
Organism: Pocillopora damicornis (cauliflower coral)
Lineage: Eukaryota; Metazoa; Cnidaria; Anthozoa; Scleractinia; Pocilloporidae
Source: RefSeq, a predicted model, not a curated record